GAAAGAAUUCUCAGAGCAGCCAGGGAAAGGAAGAUGGUAACCUAUAAAAGAAAACCCAUUAGAUCGUCGUCGGACUUCUCAGCACAAACCUUCCGAGCCAGAAAGAAAUGGAAUCAAAUAUUCAAAUGGUUAAGUGAAAGGAACCACCAGCCGAGAAUAAUGUACCCGGCUAAACUGUGGAUUUGGAGGGGAAAUAAAGACCUUUCCAGACAUACAAAAAUUGAGAGAAUUUUCCAGUACAAGGCUUGCAUUACAAGAAAUACUGAAAUACUGAAAGCAGUGCAACUCUUACUAACAACUGGGCGUUAUACGCUUAAACAAUGAGAUUUGCUAUAGCAAGAAAGUAAUGAACGUUCCGCAUACAUAGGGACAAAUUGAGACAACGACUGAAAAGGGGAUUCAAAGAUCCAAAUUCACAAAGGGGAAUGGAGGCAAGGCACGUGCAGAAGAAAAUGGACGACUAUAUAACAUCUUGGACCAUUCACAAAAAUGAACUCAAAAUGGUUUAAAAACUUAAAUGUAAGACCCGAAACCAUAAAAUUCCUGGAAGAAAACAUAGGGAAAAUCUCGACAUUAUUCUUGGCAAUGUUUUUUGGAUGUGAUACCAAAAGCAUGGGCAAUAAAUGAAAAAAAAAAAAAAAGUAAAUGAGUGAGACUAUAUCAAACUAAAAAUCUUUUGCACCGCAAAGGAAACAAUAUGAAGUGGCAAGCCCUAGAAUGGGAGGAAGUAUUUGCAAAUCUAUAUAUCAGAGAGGGGGUUAAUAUCCAAAAUAUACAAAAAAACUCAUACAGCUUAAAUAGAAAAAAAAAAUGAUCUGAAUAAAAAAUCAGGAAAGGAUCUAAAUCAGGCCAGCCCAGAAGCUACCCGUCCCAGCAUCCUUCUGAGUCCACAGAAUCGAGAGGAACAAGAUGAGAGGGAAUAUAUAACCGUGAGGAGAAUUGAGGGCUGAGGCAAGAUUGGAAUUGUGAAUAUUUUCUAAUUCCUUUUUUCAUGUAGUUACUUCGGGAUUUAAGGAUCCCAGAUAUGUUUCCCUGAAACACUUGGUUUCAGUGGCCUAAAAAAUAUAGGAGAAAGUGCAUUAGAAUAGCAUUGAUAUCACGAAGGUAGUCUAAACCUUAGGAAAUGUCACAAUUUAAGCUUUAGCUAAGACCUCUACUCUAACUACACACGUGACUGACAACAGAUGGGUUCCUUGCAGUGUUUUACAUAAGAAUGGCCAUACAUCAAGGUUCAAAUGGGCACACAAUUUUCUACCAUUAUCUUAUCCUUGAGGCUGACAACAGCAAAAUAAAGAAAAAGUAAUGAUGCAAAUGAAUAGAACAAGAGGCGUCCCAUGCUGAGUUCUUGUAGAAAGCUAAAGAUAAUAUUAGAAUGUAUAGAGAAACUAUACCUUUGGAAAGGGAUUCGGAUCUCUAAAUUGUCUUUUCCUUUGUUGUGCAGCACGAGCCUUCUACAGUGUUCCAUAUAACGUUUCAUACCGUUCACCAAUGCUUCACAGACAAGUUUCAGGUUUUUUUUUUUUUUUAUUUACUGAUUUGGGGGCUGGCAUCCAGCUAGUGUAUUUGUCCUCAUGGACGGGGACCAAAAAAGAUAAACGUUUUGAUAAACACCGAGUUUUUUUUUUUUUAGAGGAGUCAGGACUUUAGCUGAAUCUAAAGGAAGAGGAAGGACUUUCAGGAUGGAGAAUAGCAUCCCGACCGACUCCUUUAGGAAGACACUUUCUGUUACAGAAUUAAACAAGGAGGCGGCUAGUUUGGGGUCCAUUUUCGUCAUUGGCUCAGUAUGAAUUUAGGCCCAAAGCUUUCCCGUCUCUGUCUUCAGUUUUCCUAUCUUUUCUAUUAGUUUCUCGAAGCAGACCGUGAUCUGUGGGGCUUGCUGGGGUGAAAAUCAGAGGUUCUUGUCCACCCUCACUCCUUCCAGCUGUCACAGCUUUUGGGAAAUGGCUGCAUCUCUCUGGGCGUUAGUUUCCACAUCUAUAAAAUCGGGAAAAACCAAUCCUCACCCCCUCUUAUCAUUUUGCAAUACUUCGGCGAAAUCACAGAAAGACGGGUUUAGGGGGCCGGACCCUUGUGAGGGGAAUUAAAGUUGAGAACGAGAACUAUCUAGAAACGUGGAAAGAAGAGGGUCGGGGCAAAGGCUAACGCGAAAAUUGGGGCUGGAGAAAGCAAAAGGAAACGAAGGCGAAGAAAAAUGAGGACGAAGGAGGGACGUUUUGCAGGGGGACGGCAGAGCCUGGGAGAGUGCGAGCGCUCAGGGAGACGGAGGGCCGCGGCGCCGGCGGAGCCAUUUGCGCAGCGCACCCAGGUUGCGUGCGGGGCCUCUUUGGCUGUGACACCCGCCGCGGGCUGCCAGCGCCCGAGCCGAACCGCUGCUCUGAGACCUAAGAUGGCGGCGCCGGCCGGCCGCGGGAGUCCUGCCGGCGCCCGGGGCGUGACGAGGCCGCCAGAGACGAACCUGCUAAGCCAAGCUCAGAAACUGGCCAGUGCGUGUGUCGUGUCUGACUUUUGCAGAUAUAUCCUAUGGAGUUAAAAGUACCAGUAUAUUAAAACACAUGAACAGGAUGCCUCUGCAGCUUUGUUUUUGUGACAAGGGGGCCUUUCUGUAUGUCUUAUGAAAUACUUAAGACAUAUAGACAUACAAAGAACAAGACAACGAACCUCUGUUCUCACCAACCAAACAUAAAAAACAAAACAUUACCAAUAUAAUUGAAGUCCUCUGUGUACCCCUCCGUCAUUGCAUCUCUCUUCCCUCGUCCCCAGAGAAAUCUCCAGAAAAUCCCUAGCGGGCAGGGUUUGGAGAGCUUCUGGGUUGGUGAACAUGUGGAGAUGUGGGCAGAGUGGUGCCUGGAGGGGGCCUGGCGGCUCCGUGCCCCUCCCCACGUACCUUGCCCUAUGCGUCCCUUCCAUCUGGCCGUUCCUGAGUUACAGCCUUUUAUGAUAAACAGUGACCCAUUAAUGGUGUCAGAAAUGGAAUCCAGCGAAGACCCAUCCAGUGACCGUGAGACCUGGGAGCGACCAGAUGUUGCUGAGCACAAAGCUUACCCUUUGGGCCGACCCCGGAGUGUGCGUGGCAGUCUCUCGGGAUCUGAUCUCUGCUCUGCCUGCCGAGCUCUCCAGCUUUAUGGUGUCCACUUGAUUUCAGUUCUGCUUUUGUUUAUUAGAGCUUCCGGCAAGUCACCUCCACCUGUCCUCGCCCAUUACUUGCAGCUGUGAAACCUACACAGCUGUUGGAAGACUGAAAAGUAAAUAACACCGAGUGGAAUGGGAAGCAGCGGUGACACGUGACGUUGUAUCCAUCCCCUCAAGACAAUCCCAAGCUGCCAGUAGAGGUCAUUAGGACAAGAAGAACACGGUGCCCAGAGGACCCUAAAUUCUGAGAUAGUGGAAGUUUCCAUUCCGAUCCGAGGAACUGCGGUCCUAAGAUGGCGAGGCCAACCCUCCGUGUUUUCGCUCUCAUUCCGCUACUUGGCUCCAGGGACCGUACUGAUCACCGAGGACCAAAAAUAGGAGUGCCAGUCUCUCCCUGCUCUCCUCCUGUGGGGGCCAGUUUCGGAUUACACCUGGGAAGCUCCUGGCCAGUUUGUAAACCAACAGUUGUUGAGUCAGCCAGGACACCAAAGAUGAGCUUCGGGAUAGAGGCAUCCGAAGGGAAAAAUGACACGUUGGCCAUCGAACUCUGUGCGGGGAGGAGUAGCGCAUACGUCAUGGUCGUGGGCCACCACCUCUUCCGUCGUGGAGAUCCGAGUUUCUGAUGCUCUUGCUUCUAGCUAAACAGUUUGUUCUACUGGUGACGAACUCCCCAAAUUUUUGCUUGUCAGUAAAAUUCGUUAUUUCUCCUGUACUUCAGGAGCAUAAUUUCACUGGAUCCAGAAUUCUAGUUGUGGAAGUUUCUAUUGGAAUUUCUUCAAGCCCGCUAAUUCUUUAAUGUCCACUGACUGGUGAACCCAUCAAAGACAUUCAUUUCUGAGACAGUAUUUCUGAUUCGCAUUUCCUUUCCAUUCAGUUUUAUGAUUCUGUCUCUGCUG
Molecule: long non-coding RNA, 4025 nt
Organism: Pteropus alecto (black flying fox)
Lineage: Eukaryota; Metazoa; Chordata; Mammalia; Chiroptera; Pteropodidae
Exons: 10
Source: RefSeq, a predicted model, not a curated record